UACGUAGGGUGCGAGCGUUAAUCGGAAUUACUGGGCGUAAAGCGUGCGCAGGCGGUUCGUUAAGUCUGAUGUGAAAGCCCCGGGCGUCAACCUCGGGUAAGUAGGCGAUUGGUAAACGUAGGCGGGGCGUUGAGUGUGGCAGAGGGGGUGGAAUUCGCGUGUAGCAGUGAAAUGCGUAGAGAUGCGGAGGAACACCGAUGGCGAAGGCAGCCCCUCGGGCGUAACACUGACGCUCAGGCGACGAAAGCGUGGGGA
Molecule: ribosomal RNA, 255 nt
Filed under: uncultured bacterium
Lineage: Bacteria
Description: partial 16S ribosomal RNA
Rfam family: Bacterial small subunit ribosomal RNA
Source: RNAcentral